AGUACCCUGCAGGUGCUGCAGGUGUGGCCACUGUGUCACCUGUGCAUCAGUAGAUGGCAGGGAGGAGACAGGAUAUUUCCGUGCUCAGUGUUCUGACCUGUAUACAUCUGAAUGAUAAGUAGCCUAGUAUU
Molecule: small nucleolar RNA, 131 nt
Organism: Apodemus sylvaticus (European woodmouse)
Lineage: Eukaryota; Metazoa; Chordata; Mammalia; Rodentia; Muridae
Product: small nucleolar RNA SNORA17
Exons: 1
Source: RefSeq, a predicted model, not a curated record